UUAUUUGAUCUAAAUAUUGGAUGAAGUUUUUACUAUAUAAAGUGAUCAAACAAUCCACCAUUUGUUAUAUACAAAGUUAAAACAUACAUAAAAAUAUGGCUGAAAUUCUCAAGUUUUUUUAUAUUGCGAUCAUUUAUCUUUCUUUGUUUCUUGUUGUAUUCGAGGAUAAAAGAGAGUGUGAUACUAACUUCGAUUGUCAGCAAAAGUUUUCUACUCAAGCUGAAGAUCUUUUGUGGUGCAUUAGGGGUUAUUGUAUGAGCAUUCCCAAUUAGGGUUAUCCCCACAACAAGAUUGAGGAGUAGAAUCAAGGCAUGUGUGUACGAGACUAAAGUGGAUGGUUAUUCCCUCACCUAUAAUAUGUUGUUCUUUAAAGUUUGUUGGAUUAUUGUUUAUGUUUAAAUUGAGUUCUAUCCUCUGAUAUUGUGACAUCAGUAUUGAGUUUAAUAAUAUGCUCUUGUCUUAUUUUCUUGGAUCUUGAGAAAA
Molecule: long non-coding RNA, 483 nt
Organism: Medicago truncatula (barrel medic)
Lineage: Eukaryota; Viridiplantae; Streptophyta; Magnoliopsida; Fabales; Fabaceae
Exons: 3
Source: RefSeq, a predicted model, not a curated record